This is a non-coding RNA of Sarcophilus harrisii (Tasmanian devil), 144 nucleotides long. The record is from Rfam. Lineage: Eukaryota; Metazoa; Chordata; Mammalia; Dasyuromorphia; Dasyuridae.
UAUUCUACCUGUAUCUAACCUAAAAUCCUCUGCUGAUUUCUUUCUCAAUUUGCAUGGUCUUUCUCCUGAAAUUAAAACUGAAAGAAGCAAAGAUGCCCCUUUGGGCUUGUGGUCCAGAUUGCUCUACUUCCAAGCUCAAAGAAU